This 501-nucleotide ribosomal RNA is filed under the name uncultured bacterium. RNAcentral's name for it is "partial 16S ribosomal RNA". It matches the Rfam family "Bacterial small subunit ribosomal RNA", at positions 30 to 523 of the family's 1533-position model. The record is from RNAcentral.
AUUGAACGCUGGCGGCAGGCUUAACACAUGCAAGUCGAGCGGAGAGAGGUAGCUUGCUACUGAUCUUAGCGGCGGACGGGUGAGUAAUGCUUAGGAAUCUGCCUAUUAGUGGGGGACAACGUUUCGAAAGGAACGCUAAUACCGCAUACGUCCUACGGGAGAAAGCAGGGGAUCUUCGGACCUUACGCUAAUAGAUGAGCCUAAGUCGGAUUAGCUAGUUGGUGGGGUAAAGGCCUACCAAGGCGACGAUCUGUAGCGGGUCUGAGAGGAUGAUCCGCCACACUGGGACUGAGACACGGCCCAGACUCCUACGGGAGGUAGCAGUGGGGAAUAUUGGACAAUGGGCGGAAGCCUGAUCCAGCCAUGCCGCGUGUGUGAAGAAGGCCUUUUGGUUGUAAAGCACUUUAAGCGAGGAGGAGGAGCUCUAGGUUAAUACCCUAGAAGCUUGGACGUUACUCGCAGAAUAAGCACCGGCUAACUCUGUGCCAGCAGCCGCCGUAA